GGAAUCGCUUUUCAGACAGGGACCAUCACAACACCAAGGGAGGUAAUGGCCAGCAGCGAGUAGGGAGCAGUGAUUUUGUUGGCUAGUUGGUGCCUGCCCUGCCUGCAGCACCGGGCUGGGAGCCCAGCUCGCCCUGGCCCAGCAGGGGGCAAUCCCAGCAAAGAGCUCAGGAAAUCAGUGCUGUUGCUGGGGUGCAAUUCCUCUGCAAAAAGGAAAGGUUGAAAAAGUAAUAGAGCCACAGCCAGGCAGCUGCUUGCAGCUCCCCGUGACCCUUGCUGCCUGCCCCAGCCCUGUGGGUGAGUGUGGGGUGGGAGCUGGGAGCAAGGAACGUGGGGGAAUGGCCCUCUUUCUAUGCAUUGAGGUCAGCUUGUGACCUCAGGAGCUCUGCUCCAUUUCCAGAGGUUCCUUCCAAAGAUCUGUAAGGGUUAGGAGGGUCAAUGGGAUCAAGCGCCGCUGGAAAGAAGAGUCCUGAAAAGCAACCAGAUUCUGCAGACAUGGGGAUAUGGAAGGGACUCAUCCUGGGAGGAACAACCCAUCACCUCUGGCACCGCGCUGCAGCCUCCAGCGGGACUCUGCGCCGGGAUUGCUGGGGAUGCCGGCACAGAGGAAAGAUUUGCAUUCCCUCUGCUUGCCCUUGCCACGACUCAAUAAGAGAAACCCAGGGUAGGGAAGGUGCCUGCCUCCAGCGCUCUGCCUCCCACCACCUGAUCUCCCAGCCAUUCAGUCCCUCACUCUGCUUACCAGGCAGCAGCAGGCGAGAGCCAGCCAGCUCCAGCCCAGAGGGAACAGCCUGGCCGAGACAAAGUGAGUACCGUGAUUUAAAUGGAGAAAGUCGGGCAGUUGUCAACGGGAAGGAAAUUACUUGGAAUCUAAACCUAACUAAAAGAAGCUACCCAGAUUACUGACACUGUAAAUUGGAUUAAAAUUAAGUCCAACAAGAAAAUCAAUGGAAAGUGAUAAGGAAGUAAGUCAAAAUGACAGCAGAAUGAGACGGACGUUGUC
RNAcentral lists this long non-coding RNA (1002 nucleotides) under Calidris pygmaea (Spoon-billed sandpiper). RNAcentral's name for it is "lncRNA (ENSCPGG00000017713.1)". Lineage: Eukaryota; Metazoa; Chordata; Aves; Charadriiformes; Scolopacidae. The record is from RNAcentral.